GACUCAUCCAGAGAGGCGGAGGGACCGGCCCGAUGAAGCCUCGGCAACCAAUCCGCUCACGCGGAGCAGGUGCCAAAUCCGGCAGACCCCCGAAAAUAAUCCGGGGCGGUCUGGAAGAUGAGGA
Molecule: non-coding RNA, 124 nt
Filed under: Chloroflexota bacterium
Lineage: Bacteria; Bacillati; Chloroflexota
Description: Chloroflexi bacterium SAM-I sequence
Rfam family: SAM riboswitch aptamer (S box leader)
About the family: The SAM riboswitch is found upstream of a number of genes which code for proteins involved in methionine or cysteine biosynthesis in Gram-positive bacteria.
Source: RNAcentral